AUUGAACGCUGGCGGCAGGCCUAACACAUGCAAGUCGAGCGGAUGAAGGUAGCUUGCUCCUGGAUUCAGCGGCGGACGGGUUAGUAAUGCCCAGGAAUCUGCCUGGUAGUGGGGGAUAACGUCCGGAAACGGGCGCUAAUACCGCAUACGUCCUGAGGGAGAAAGUGGGGGAUCUUCGUACCUCACGCUAUCAGAUGAUCCUAGGUCGGAUUAGCUAGUUGGUGGGGUAAAGGCCUACCAAGGCGACGAUCCGUAACUGGUCUGAGAGGAUGAUCAGUCACACUGGAACUGAGACACGGUCCAGACUACUACGGGAGGCAGCAGUGGGGAAUAUUGGACAAUGGGCGAAAGAAUGAUACAGCAAUGCCGCGUGUGUGAAGAAGGUAUUAGGAUUGUAAAGCACUUUAAGUUGGGAGGAAGGGAAGUAAGUUAAUACCUUGCUGUUUUGACGGUACAAACAGAAUAAGCACCGGCUAACUUCGUG
Molecule: ribosomal RNA, 484 nt
Filed under: uncultured bacterium
Lineage: Bacteria
Description: partial 16S ribosomal RNA
Rfam family: Bacterial small subunit ribosomal RNA
Source: RNAcentral